Molecule: long non-coding RNA, 1559 nt
Organism: Nematostella vectensis (starlet sea anemone)
Lineage: Eukaryota; Metazoa; Cnidaria; Anthozoa; Actiniaria; Edwardsiidae
Exons: 4
Source: RefSeq, a predicted model, not a curated record
UUAAUGACCAGACAGAUAGUCAAAUUCUGUAAGAAUGACGACAUACAGCCAGCAACAAGUUCAAGGUAGGUCAAUGCUAUUAAAUCCCUGGUAUCCAGGAACCGCUUUCACUUGGGAUCCCGGUUCAACGUUUCGGUACGCGGUCUCACCCCUCUGGGAUCCACGCUUCAGGAUCCGAGGUCCGAUUUUUUUUAUCCACUUACAUGAGACAUACUUCCAAUCAGUUCAUAAACAACUUCCAUAGUAUUCUUUAUUCUAUUUGGUAGUGAUUAAAGAACAUCGUCUUCCUUACCCAGGUGUUUUUUUUUUCUAUGGUCCCGUCCCAAGCGCUUCUAGAUUUAAACACUAAUAACCCGUAAAUUGCAUUCCUCUCGGCACAUCUGCAAGCGCCAAUGAGCUUUUGGCAGCCAGUGAGCGAGCACAAUUAUUCCAUUAGCACCCUCUUCACCCGUCCCCAUCUUUGCAGAGUACCGAUUAGUGAUUCUCACAGCCAUAAAAGAGUGGGGAUUGCUCUAGAAGACUCCAUGAUAUCAGACAGGGUCUUUAACAAAGAUGAGUCAUCCUUCUUAGAAAUGCUAUUGUGGAGAUAUUCCCGCUCCCCAGGGUGGAUGUAAAAUUCGCUUGGAAACAUCGUGAUGGAGAUGAGCCAACAAUAGUGAUAAAUCGUUGAUAAUUUUCCAGUGUUUUAGUUUACAUCACGUCUCGGUGAGUUGUGUUAUUUUGUUUUUAAACUCGUUAAGUUUAUAUUUUUAUUCAUGUAAAUGUAAAACUACGUUGGCCGCAACUUUGUGACUCCUCAUAUCUCAUUUCUUGUGACAAUGGGAGGUCUUUCUCUACUGGAUCUCCAUUUUUACUUUCCCAGUUAAAAAAAUAAUAAUUAGACAAUUACUAUUCCAUUGAAAGGCUUAUUUCACGGCCGUUGUAAAGUUUGUCAAGACCAUAUUUUCUUGUGUUCCUUAAAAGUCAAAGUAUCUGUGUUUCUUGAGUUUUUGGGAAAAGUUCCUAAGCUGUGACUGGCUUGCGUGUGAUGGAAGGUUGAUGAAUCUAAACAAAUUCUCUUUGACGAAACAUUCCCCCGCACAGUUGGUAUUCCGGAAGAAAAAAUAUGAACAAAACACGAAAAAAAAAACACGGCUAAUUUUGUUUUAUCGCAAACUUGCUUCAUUAUAGUUUAACUUUUUACGGGAGCCGAGUACACAUUCCUGACGAUAUUUUGAACAGCGAUGUUACACCUAAAUUGAUUUCCAGUUGAAUCCCGUCUGCGAUCUGCUGUUGAAAUUUGCAUCUUUCGUCUAUUAAAGGCCUCGUCCUAUAUUUAUGGCAUUUUUUCUGGACCUUAAACUAGCAAGGAAAGGAAACUAAGCUUCGCCACAAUUGGCAGGGUAGCCGCAACAGCAUGGCCAUUUACAGAUAAUAGAAGAUGUAAAAAGACUAUUUACAACAAGUUAUAGGAGAUGUAAAAAUUCAUCGACAACAUUAUUCAACAAGUGGAUGAGUCCUUUUUGCAAGAGGUGUUUUUUUUUUUACUUAUGUAAUCUUAUUUUAAAGAUUAAAGACAA